Long non-coding RNA from Pogoniulus pusillus (Red-fronted tinkerbird), 778 nucleotides. RefSeq lists it as uncharacterized. The transcript has 4 exons. NCBI's taxonomy places the organism in Eukaryota, Metazoa, Chordata, Aves, Piciformes, Lybiidae. The record is from RefSeq and is a predicted model, not a curated record.
AGGACCUGCAGAAUAUUUGCAAAAGGAUACAGUAAUGUGAGCUAUCUGAUCUGUGAGAUUACAUGUUUAAAAUAGUCUUUGUUCUUUAUUUGUUGAAUGUUAUAGCAAGAGCCCAAUGAUCAUUCAGAAUCUGGAGUGGAGGAAUCUAGCAUACCACCAGCUGCUGAACCAUCUGAAGGCCAAGCACCCCCACCAUCACCCAAUGACUUCCCUGGGGCUGUCACUAAAACACCUGAGGCUGGAUCAUCAGCAAGUGUAGUCAAGUCAAUAGAGACUACACAUGAAAUACUGGAGCAACCGAAGGUGUAUGAAGACCCCCUUGAAGUCUCGAUUACAUACAUGGAGAGACAUAAUGUUCUGCAGAUAUUUCAGGAGAUCACAGAAAAGCUGGUGUACCAGAAGCCUGAUGACCCCUUGCAGUUUAUGUUGCUGCAGGUGCAGUCUAUGAUAAAUGCCAGGCAGGCAACAAUGGAAGGAAUAUUGGAGAACGAAGAUGCGGAAGUGUUUCUGGAGUAGGUCCUGCACACUCCUUUUGACUGCUGCUGACCUUGUUGUUUUGGUCUUGCACAGAGCCUUCAUGGCACCAUGCCUUUGUAGCCAUUGGCAGUAGCUUGGAACAGAUCUGCUUGUAUCUCCAUUUCCUGAUUUUUCUGUACUAUGUGCUUGUGCUUCCCCUUGGGUUUAAGUCCUGCUACCAAGCAUUGGCUUGGAUGCACAAACUCUAAUCUGAAGGAGUGCAUGCACGUAUGACACAUCUUGAAGAUGCAAGUCUGCUGAG